RNAcentral lists this ribosomal RNA (454 nucleotides) under uncultured bacterium. Its description in RNAcentral is "SSU rRNA". It matches the Rfam family "Bacterial small subunit ribosomal RNA", at positions 26 to 518 of the family's 1533-position model. The record is from RNAcentral.
AGGAUGAACGCUGGCGGCGUGCCUAAUACAUGCAAGUCGAGCGGUAAGGCCCCUUCGGGGGUACACGAGCGGCGGACGGCUGAGUAACACGUAGGAACGUACCCAAAGUGAGGGAUAAGCACCAGAAAUGGUGUCUAAUACCGCAUGUGCUCUUCGGAGGAAAGCUUCGGCGCUUUGGGAACGGCCUGCGCAUGAUUAGCUUGUUGGUGAGGUAAUGGCUCACCAAGGCGACGAUCAUUAGCUGGUCUGAGAGGAUGAUCAGCCAGACUGGGACUGAGAACGGCCCAGACUCCUACGGGAGGCAGCAGUAGGGAAUUUUCCACAAUGGGCGAAAGCCUGAUGGAGCAACGCCGCGUGCAGGAUGAAUGCCUUCGGGUUGUAAACUGCUUUUAUAUGUGACGAAUAUGACGGUAGCAUAUGAAUAAGGAUCGGCUAACUCCGUGCCAGCAGCCGC